RNAcentral lists this ribosomal RNA (254 nucleotides) under uncultured bacterium. RNAcentral's name for it is "partial 16S ribosomal RNA". It matches the Rfam family "Bacterial small subunit ribosomal RNA", at positions 524 to 776 of the family's 1533-position model. The record is from RNAcentral.
UACGUAGGGUGCGAGCGUUGUCCGGAAUUAUUGGGCGUAAAGAGCUCGUAGGCGGUGUGUCGCGUCGGCCGUGAAAACCUGGGGCUCAACUCUGGGCGUGCGGUCGAUACGGGCAUCACUUGAGUUCGGCAGGGGAGACUGGAAUUCCUGGUGUAGCGGUGAAAUGCGCAGAUAUCGGGAGGAACACCAAUGGCGAAGGCAGCUCGCUGGGACGGUACUGACGCUGAGACGCGAAAGCGUGGGGAGCAAACAGG